This 785-nucleotide ribosomal RNA is filed under the name Psychrobacter pulmonis. RNAcentral's name for it is "bacterial SSU rRNA". It matches the Rfam family "Bacterial small subunit ribosomal RNA", at positions 672 to 1454 of the family's 1533-position model. Lineage: Bacteria; Pseudomonadati; Pseudomonadota; Gammaproteobacteria; Moraxellales; Moraxellaceae. The record is from RNAcentral.
GGUGUAGCGGUGAAAUGCGUAGAGAUCUGGAGGAAUACCGAUGGCGAAGGCAGCCCUCUGGCAUCAUACUGACACUGAGGUUCGAAAGCGUGGGUAGCAAACAGGAUUAGAUACCCUGGUAGUGCACGCCGUAAACGAUGUCUACUAGUCGUUGGGUCCCCUGAGGACUUAGUGACGCAGCUAACGCAAUAAGUAGACCGCCUGGGGAGUACGGCCGCAAGGUUAAAACUCAAAUGAAUUGACGGGGGCCCGCACAAGCGGUGGAGCAUGUGGUUUAAUUCGAUGCAACGCGAAGAACCUUACCUGGUCUUGACAUAUCUAGAAUCCUGCAGAGAUGCGGGAGUGCCUUCGGGAAUUAGAAUACAGGUGCUGCAUGGCUGUCGUCAGCUCGUGUCGUGAGAUGUUGGGUUAAGUCCCGCAACGAGCGCAACCCUUGUCCUUAGUUUCCAGCGGUUUGGCCGGGAACUCUAAGGAUACUGCCAGUGACAAACUGGAGGAAGGCGGGGACGACGUCAAGUCAUCAUGGCCCUUACGGCCAGGGCUACCCCCGUGCUACAAUGGUAGGUACAGAGGGCAGCUACACAGCGAUGUGAUGCGAAUCUCAAAAAGCCUAUUGUAGUCCAGAUUGGAGUUUGCAACUUGACUCCAUGAAGUUGGAAUCGCUAGUAAUCGCGGAUCAGAAUGCCGCGGUGAAUACGUUCCCGGGCCUUGUACACACCGCCCGUCACACCAUGGGAGUUGAUUGCACCAGAAGUGGGUAGCCUAACCUUGUAGCAGGUAGAAUG